RNAcentral lists this long non-coding RNA (254 nucleotides) under Rattus norvegicus (Norway rat). RNAcentral's name for it is "long non-coding RNA NONRATT001714". The record is from RNAcentral. Lineage: Eukaryota; Metazoa; Chordata; Mammalia; Rodentia; Muridae.
GGUACCAAUGUGAUAGUAUCGCUGUCAUCCAUACUGCAUGAUGACAAAGAAUUUCCUAAUCCAGAGAAGUUUGACCCUGGUCACUUUCUAGAUGAGAGAGGAAAGAGGAUAUGUGCAGGAGAAGCCCUGGCUCGCACGGAGCUGUUUUUGUUCUUCACCACCAUUUUACAGAAUUUUAACCUGAAGUCUCUGGUUGAUGUAAAAGACAUUGACACAACACCAGCUAUCAGUGGAUUUGGCCAUUUGCCCCCUUU